UAGCCAUUUCGACCGUGCCACAACGAUGCCGACAGCUCUCUUUGCCACCCCUACAACGUGCUUGUUCAAGCAGCUCCUUUUCUUUCAGGUUUUGUGCUUAGAAAGAGUGACAUGAUGCAGGAUGGAGUUGCGAGGAGUUCCCGGACACGGUCAGAGAUGGCUGGAACAGUCGGAUGGAUUUGCAAUCAUGCAAUAAAUGCCCACAUAAGACGCCAUGGUCAAAUGGUUGGAGAUCGUUGAGAGUUUGCAGCUAUUGAUGAAAGUUGUUUCCUUAAUAAAAGCAAGUAUCACCACAGAAGGGCCGGUGCAACAUGGCGACGGAAAAAGUGGGUAUUAAGAAUAUUAGGAGUAGGUGACCGCCAGAAACAUCCUGUCUUGUGGCUGGUGUGGUUAAACAAGUGCGUCCGGGAACCACCGUCAUCAGUGACCAAUGGGGCACUUACAGGAGUGCAUUGACUGCGACAGGCUACAGGCACUUCACAGUGAACCACUGUCAGUAGUUUGCGGAUCCAAACACCUUGCGCGCCUCCCAGUAUGUCAACCCCAGCUUUCUCUGUGGACCAUGCAACUUGGACUUUCCGAGUUUCAUAUAGGACAAUGCAUCUUGCUCUGCAUCUGUAAACCAUGGAUUCAUCUUUUGGACAUUUUCAGGAGAAUGGCUGUGUGUGUGUGUGUGUGCG
Engraulis encrasicolus (European anchovy) is the source of this 680-nucleotide long non-coding RNA. RefSeq lists it as uncharacterized. The record is from RefSeq and is a predicted model, not a curated record. Lineage: Eukaryota; Metazoa; Chordata; Actinopteri; Clupeiformes; Engraulidae. The transcript has 3 exons.